Nematostella vectensis (starlet sea anemone) is the source of this 187-nucleotide long non-coding RNA. RefSeq lists it as uncharacterized. Lineage: Eukaryota; Metazoa; Cnidaria; Anthozoa; Actiniaria; Edwardsiidae. The record is from RefSeq and is a predicted model, not a curated record. The transcript is spliced from 3 exons.
AUUCAUUCGGCUUAAGAAUCGCUGCACCGAAAGACGUCUCUCUAUUCCUUCAGGCCUCACAGAUGAAAACAGCUCACCAAACGAUAAAGACAGAAUGCUGGCGCAAGCACCUGGUCCAGUGAAUGGCCAUUUCUGAAAAGCACAAGUGUUCUUCACUAAAUCGCCAAGAAUUCAAAAACGCGUUGAG